GGCGAGGAGAGGCGGGCCCUGCCCCGCGGGGUCCUGUGCCGCUGCCGCUCCUGGGAGAUGUAGUUUGUGGCGCCUCCCGCCCAGAGCCAUGGCCGCCCCGUGAGUGUUUGGAGCACAUGAGGAGCUGCCAGAGGAAUCACUAAUAUUUUCAUUUCUCCUUCUUCAGAUGCUCCUGCCCAGGUCUGUGCCUGUAGAAGUGUGACGCUCCUCGGUGCUGGGUGCUGCCUGCGGUGGGACAGUGUAAUCACGCAGCCAAGAUGGUGGCAUUUAACUGGAAGGCUUUGGAGAAUUUCCCAUUGCUGAUGUACAUUUUGGCAGCUAAAACAUUGAUUCUUUGCUUAGCAUUUGCUGGAGUAAAAAUGUACCAGAGCAAAAAAAUUGAAGAAAAACUGAAGAGGGAACGUGAAAAGAAGUUGAAAACAGAAGUAGAAAAGAAGGAUGAUUGAAGAGUCUCUCAGUUCAAGCAAUCACUGUCUUACUGGAUCAAAGCCAUUAGCAAAAUUUCCUGACACUUGGCAGCUUGCAUUGGAUUCCUUUCCUGGGAGAACGAAGCCUUCCUGUAGAUGAAGGAUGUGUCAAAGGAAUAAAAUUCAAGAGUCUCAUUCGCUUAAACUGUAUCUCAACUUUUUAUACAUACAGCAGAAUGUCUAAGCUUCUAUUUAUGCAAUAAAAAACCCUUUGUAAAAAAAGAGAAA
Molecule: RNA transcript, 695 nt
Organism: Calypte anna (Anna's hummingbird)
Lineage: Eukaryota; Metazoa; Chordata; Aves; Apodiformes; Trochilidae
Gene: SMIM11
Gene name: small integral membrane protein 11A
Exons: 6
Source: RefSeq, a predicted model, not a curated record